UAAAGCGUUUGUAGGCGGGCGGGUGUGUUUAAUGUUAAAUCUUAAAGCUCAACUUUGAAAUUGCGUUAAAAACUGCUUGUCUUGAGUAUGGUAGGGGUAAAGGGAAUUCCCAGUGUAGCGGUGAAAUGCGUAGAUAUUGGGAAGAACACUAAACAGCGAAGGCACUUUACUAGGCUAAUACUGACGCUGAGAAACGAAAGGUAAGGUAGCGAAACGGAUUAGAUACCCGUGUAGUCUUACCCGUAAACUAUGGACACUAAACGGUAAAUUUUUAAUUUACUGUUAAAGCUAACGCGUUAAGUGUCCCGCCUGGGGAGUAUGCUUGCAAAAGUGAAACUCAAAGGAAUUGACGGGGGCCCGCACAAGCGGUGGAGCAUGUGGUUUAAUUCGACGGUACACGAAGAACCUUACCAGGAUUUGACAUGCUAGAUAGUUGCUUGAAAGAGUAACGUGCCGUAAGGAAUCUAGACACAGGUGGUGCAUGGCUGUCGUCAGUUCGUGUUGUGAAAUGUUGGGUUAAGUCCCGCAACGAACGCAACCCUUGUCUUUAGUUAUUUUCUAAAGAGACCGCCUGUAAUAAACAGGAGGAAGGUAAGGAUGAGGUCAAGUCAUCAUGCCCCUUAUGUCCUGGGCUACACACGUGCUACAAUGGGAAAGACAAUGAGCUGCAAAUCUGUAAAUUUAAGCAAAUCUCUUAAACUUUCUCGUAGUUCGGAUUGUGGGCUGCAACUCGCCCACAUGAAGUUGGAAUCGCUAGUA
This 759-nucleotide ribosomal RNA is filed under the name uncultured phototrophic eukaryote. RNAcentral's name for it is "bacterial SSU rRNA". It matches the Rfam family "Bacterial small subunit ribosomal RNA", at positions 561 to 1340 of the family's 1533-position model. The record is from RNAcentral.